AUUGAACGCUGGCGGCAUGCCUAACACAUGCAAGUCGAACGGCAGCACAGCAGUAGCAAUACUGUGGGUGGCGAGUGGCGGACGGGUGAGGAAUACGUCGGAAUCUGCCCAGUCGUGGGGGAUAACUAGCCGAAAGGUUAGCUAAUACCGCAUACGACCGAGAGGUGAAAGCGGGGGACCGCAAGGCCUCGCGCGAUUGGAUGAGCCGACGUCGGAUUAGCUAGUUGGCGGGGUAAAGGCCCACCAAGGCGACGAUCCGUAGCUGGUCUGAGAGGAUGAUCAGCCACACUGGAACUGAGACACGGUCCAGACUCCUACGGGAGGCAGCAGUGGGGAAUAUUGGACAAUGGGCGCAAGCCUGAUCCAGCAAUGCCGCGUGUGUGAAGAAGGCCUUCGG
This 397-nucleotide ribosomal RNA is filed under the name uncultured bacterium. Its description in RNAcentral is "bacterial SSU rRNA". It matches the Rfam family "Bacterial small subunit ribosomal RNA", at positions 29 to 421 of the family's 1533-position model. The record is from RNAcentral.